This 259-nucleotide ribosomal RNA is filed under the name uncultured bacterium. RNAcentral's name for it is "partial 16S ribosomal RNA". It matches the Rfam family "Bacterial small subunit ribosomal RNA", at positions 793 to 1055 of the family's 1533-position model. The record is from RNAcentral.
GUCCGCACUGUAAACGAUGAUUACUCGCUGCUGGGAGGUAACUUUCAGUGGCUUAGCGAAAGCGAUAAGUAAUCCACCUGGGGAGUACGCCGGCAACGGUGAAACUCAAAGGAAUUGACGGGGGCCCCGCACAAGCGGAGGAGCAUGUGGUUUAAUUCGAUGAUACGCGAGGAACCUUACCAGGGCUUGAAAGUUAGUGACCGCUCCUGAAAGGGAGCUUUCCGCAAGGACACGAAACUAGGUGCUGCAUGGCUGUCGU